CCUACGGGUGGCAGCAGUGAGGAAUAUUGGUCAAUGGACGAGAGUCUGAACCAGCCAAGUCGCGUGAAGGAUGACGGCCCUAUGGGUUGUAAACCUCUUUUAUAAAGGAAUAAAACGCGGCACGUGUGCCUUUUUGCAUGUACUUUAUGAAUAAGGAUCGGCUAACUCCGUGCCAGCAGCCGCGGUAAUACGGAGGAUCCGAGCGUUAUCCGGAUUUAUUGGGUUUAAAGGGAGAGUAGGUGGGUUGUUAAGUCAGUUGUGAAAGUUUGCGGCUCAACCGUAAAAUUGCAAUGGAUACUGGCAGUCGUGAGUACAGGUGAGGUAGGCGGAAUUCGUGGUGUAGCGGUGAAAUGCAUAGAUAUCGCGAAGAACCCCGAUUGCGAAGGCAGCUUACUAGCCUGUGACUGACGCUGAUGCUCGAAAGCGUGGGUAUCAAACAGGAUUAGAUACCCUAGUAGUC
RNAcentral lists this ribosomal RNA (460 nucleotides) under uncultured bacterium. RNAcentral describes it as "partial 16S ribosomal RNA". It matches the Rfam family "Bacterial small subunit ribosomal RNA", at positions 338 to 795 of the family's 1533-position model. The record is from RNAcentral.